This is an RNA transcript of Solanum pennellii, 1041 nucleotides long. It is a transcript of the gene named probable glutathione S-transferase, with no coding region annotated. NCBI's taxonomy places the organism in Eukaryota, Viridiplantae, Streptophyta, Magnoliopsida, Solanales, Solanaceae. The record is from RefSeq and is a predicted model, not a curated record. The transcript has 2 exons.
AACAUAAAAAUAUUCGACAAAUGAGUUAUUGAUCAAGAAACAUUAUACUACUUUUUUGUUGUAUUUAAUCAUCAAAUACACAAAUAUAUUAGUAUAUAUUUUAAACAAUUUUCCCAUUUAUAAAAGAAGACGAAAAAUUCAAACACAUACAUAAAGCCAAAGAUAAACAUAAUUAAGUUGUGAGAUGGCAGGAGUAAAGUUGCUAGGAUUUCAUUGAGCCCUUUUAGUCGUAGAGUUGAGUGGGCUCUCAAGAUUAAGGGUGUUGAAUAUGAAUUGGUUGAAGAAGAUUUACAUAACAAAAGUCCUCUACUUCUUGAAUUGAAUCCAAUUCACAAGAAAAUUCCAGUGCUAAUUCACAAUGGAAAGCCAAUUUGUGAGUCAAUGGUGAUUGUUGAAUACAUUGAUGAGACAUUUGAAGGUCCUUCCAUCUUGCCUAAAGAUCCUUAUGAUCGAGCUAUAGCUCGUUUUUGGGCUAAGUUCUUUGAUGAUAAGUGCAUGCCAGUAAUGGGGAAAGCUAUAUUUGGUAGUGGAGAGGAGUCAAACAAAGCUAAAGAGGAAUUGGGUGAUUUAAUAAAGAUUCUUGAAAAUGAGCUAAAAGACAAGAACUUUUUUGUUGGUGACAAAUUUGGAUUUGCUGAUAUGGCUGGAAAUUUGAUGGCAUAUUGGAUGGGAAUUGUUGAAGAAGCAUCUGGAAAUAUUUUUGUGACAAGUGAAAAAUUUCCAAUUUUUUGCAAUUGGAGAAAUGAGUACGUUAAUUGUAGUACAAUCAAAGAAUAUUUACCGCCAAGAGAUGAAAUACUUGCACAUUUCAAAGCUCGUUUUGCAGCUGCCCAAAAAUAAAAACUUUCUACUUAGUGAUUUUUUUGAGUUUUUAUUUUGUGUGGCUAUUAAAACUACCUUAUGUUAGUAGGUAGUAUGUUGUUUCUUUGUAAGUUUGUUUAUGAGUGCAUGUGAGUUGUAAUUUCUUUCGAGCUAAUAAAUGAUAGAGAGACAUCUUAUUGUAUUUACUUUUCCCAAUAGUAGUUGAGUUUGGAAACAAAA